GGCCCUUCACGAUCAAUUUGAGGUCUCGUAUGGGGGUUCUAACUUAAUAUGGUAGAGCAGAACCCAGUCAAUUUGCUUUGGGAAACCUCACGCAGAAUUGCACCAAGAAAUCGAAAAAGGUAGAGAGGAAGAAGAGAGGGAAAGCGCGGGCGAUCGAGAUCGCGAGGAGAGAUAGAGUGGGUAGAUGCCGAAAUCAUAUCUCCAUCGCCCACCAUAACACCUAUGAACCCCAUCAAAACUCAUCCCCAAAACCUAACCCUAACCCCAGCGUUAGGUCUUGCACAUCACGACGCAACCGAUGGAGUGGUCGUCUCCAACGACGAUGAUGCCGACUAUAUCUUCCAAUCUUACCAUCUCCACUCCCAAUCUCUCCUCCUGGACGACGACGAUGACCCGGACCACGAAGAUCCAUCCUGCAACCCUAACAACUCUAAUCCCUCGCAAACCCUAGACGACACCCAUCCCGAAUCGCCCUUCUCCUCCCUCCUUCUCCGCGACCCGGACAUCGACGAUGAGGAGGAAGAAGAUGACGAGCUCCCUGCCCCGGCCGAUGGCGGCGACGAUGUGGUCCAUGAUUCUGACUUUGAGCUCAAGACCGACUCCAAACACUCCUCCGACGCUGUCAUAUUGGCGGCGGCACUGCAGCACGUCGACCCAUCGCCACACAUCUCCUCCCAGUUCUACACCUUCAACCGGGAUUCCCACGCUCUGAUGAUUCGUUGCAUCCUUGAGGGGCGACUCGCUGCUCCGAGCGAGAUCCGGCAGGCAACGCCUCGGUCGGUGCUGAAGUCCUGGCGUUUGGUUUGGAAGGACCGGAACGAGGAUACCGCGUACCUUACGGCGUGGAAGCGGAUUCAAGACAAGCUCCACGCACAUGUCGACGAUAAGGGUAACCCCUCCCUUUACUUCAAGAACAACCCGGCCCAAUGCGUCUCCCAUUUCGAGCAAUGGCAAGACAUUGUGGCCUCCUUCCAUGCGGACCCCGACCUUCUCCGACACCUUGGUCUAAAGGAGACCGUGGACAGAAUCAAGCAGUCAUGGACAGUUGGAGCUAAAUUCUAUGGCAUCCCCGAAUCCUUCAUCCGUGAUUGCAUAUCCUCAUGCCCCAUUUGCUCCUCUUCCACCUCCAUUGCUGGUGCAUCCUCAUGCGGUGGAGGUGCUUCAUCCCGAUCCAAGCGGCGCAGAUUUGAAUACACUGAGUCAUUUGAUGUCCCCGCCAAGGAUGUACCUUGCAGGCUUCAGCAGCUGGCCGCCAAGCAUAAAGUAGUUCUUUGCAUCCGGCAGAAAUAUAUAAGAUACAAGCCCUUUAUGGCAGAGGUGAAGGAUUAUACAUGCCACCGUGCUGGAGAGCCUUCGUCCGUUUCAGCCUCAACCUCUACAAAGAAGCAACGGGUUCUGAAGAGGGAGCCUUACCAGUCAAAACGAUGUGGCUGCGGGUUUCGUAUCCGUGCCAUUGUGCCCAUUACCAAUUAUAAUGAGAAAGACAAGACUUUUGUGUACCUUGAGGAGGGCACAGCUGUGUUCAAGCUCUAUGCUGUGCAUUCUGGGCAUGAGCCAGGCCCCCUAGAUGGAAAUGCAAGGAUUAUUCACAGAGUGGUAGGCCACAAGGGAGGUUUAGAAUUUGACCCUGUGGUCUAUGGGGUCCGAGAGGACACAGAACCUGAAUCUUUUGUUGACCUCAUGGUUAAGAAAGAUGGUUGCGGUAGUCAUCACAGCGUUCUUCAGAAGAUCCAGGAGUUGAAGUUGGAGGCUGGCUUGUUAGAGGGAAAGAUGGCUAAGAUGCCACCAGAGUUACUCAGAUCUCUUUCACGUGAGUUGACAGAUACUCUGAACAGGCUCAGGAGUUUUACUGGUCAACAACUUUCUGAAGAAUCCUUAGUUAUGGGUGAUGAUAGUAUCGGGCAGUGGGGAAGUGAGCAAAAUCAUGAUUUUGAUGAGCAUGGCAGGAUAUUUGGCAAUAAGGAUGCGGAAAUUGUUGAUGAUGAUGAAACUGAUUUUCAUUCAACCCUUGGGCCUAUUAUGCCGUGGGGUUCCAUGACGGUAGAGUGCCAGGAGCAGAAGAUGCUCUUGGGGGAUAGCUGCAAGUCAGUCAAAUGGUUACUGAAGGAAGAUUGUAGUGACUUUGAUGAAAAAAGCAUACUUAAUUGUGGUGAGGAUGAGGAUUCAAAGUUGAUAAAGCCUUUGAGGCAUGAAGAAAACAUUGUGACGGAUUCUAAUCUUGUGGCAAUGCACGUUGAUGGGUUCUACCCGGAAAACACAAAGUGUGACCUCUGAACAGUUGCAGCCAACGACUAUUUUCUCUCAGCAUUCAUACUACCAUAGUGCAGCUCUAUGCCUCUAAACAUAAGCGGAGAAUGACUGAUGGAGCAAACUGUAAUAGUCUGUAGUAGGCUGAUAAUGGUGAUGUACACAACACUAAUCUCUAUUUGUUUUAAAUUUCUUCAAUUGAUUUCCUCAUGUUCACAGUCGUAUGUGUUUAGUAGUAUUUAGAUGCGAAAUCUUUUUUGGUAAAACAUGAUUUAAAAUGAUAACUUGUUUCUUUAUAAUUGGAUUAUUUUUUCUUUGUGUGGAUACAUAAUUCCUCAGGUCAUCUCAGCACAUCUCACAUCUAUGCUGGCUCUCAUACACUAUGAAUGUAGUUGCUUCCUUUCUGUUAAUGUUGAUAUCGUGGAGCAGUAAGAAAGCCGCCCCAAACGAAGCAUUAGUGUGCAAAUGUUGAUUCCAAGGAGAAUAAUUAGGAGAAUUGGAGUAGUUCUUCGAUCUUAUCAUAGAAGAACCAAAUGAAGCCCGUGCUUGCAGUUGUUGAGGAAGAUGACACUCUCCGUCAAGCUUGAGAACUAUUUGAAUGCUGCAUGAUCUUUCGUUGGGGUUUAUCCUGGAGCAAACCCUUGGGUGUAACAAACACCAGUUUUCUCUCUCUUGAUUGCAAUUUAUUUUGUAUUUUACUUUGUAGUAUAUUUUAACCACACUUGCAGUGAUUGUGUAAUUUGUAUUUGUUGAUGAUAGCUUAGUUCACCACCAAA
Molecule: RNA transcript, 3023 nt
Organism: Dendrobium catenatum
Lineage: Eukaryota; Viridiplantae; Streptophyta; Magnoliopsida; Asparagales; Orchidaceae
Exons: 3
Source: RefSeq, a predicted model, not a curated record